Molecule: ribosomal RNA, 224 nt
Filed under: uncultured bacterium
Lineage: Bacteria
Description: partial 16S ribosomal RNA
Rfam family: Bacterial small subunit ribosomal RNA
Source: RNAcentral
AGUAACACGUAGGUGACCUGCCCUGAAGUGGGGGGACAACACCUCGAAAGAGGUGCUAAUACCGCAUGUGACCACCGAUUCGUUUCGGUGCUCAAAGUCGCAAGACGCUUUAGGAGGGGCCUGCGGCGGAUUAGCUAGUUGGUGGGGUAAUGGCCUACCAAGGCUUCGAUCCGUAGCUGGUCUGAGAGGAUGGCCAGCCAGACUGGGACUGAGACGCGGCCCAG